GGGCAGCAGUAAGGAAUAUUGGACAAUGGACGCAAGUCUGAUCCAGCCAUGCCGCGUGAAGGAUUAAGGUCCUCUGGAUUGUAAACUUCUUUUAUAAGGGACGAAAAAAGGUCUUUCUAGAUCGUCUGACGGUACCUUAUGAAUAAGCACCGGCUAACUCCGUGCCAGCAGCCGCGGUAAUACGGAGGGUGCAAGCGUUAUCCGGAUUCACUGGGUUUAAAGGGUGCGUAGGCGGGCAGGUAAGUCAGUGGUGAAAUCCUAGAGCUCAACUCUAGAACUGCCAUUGAUACUAUCUGUCUUGAAUAUUGUGGAGGUAAGCGGAAUAUGUCAUGUAGCGGUGAAAUGCUUAGAUAUGACAUAGAACACCUAUUGCGAAGGCAGCUUACUACGCAUAUAUUGACGCUGAGGCACGAAAGCGUGGGGAUCAAACAGGAUUAGAUACCCCGGUAGUC
RNAcentral lists this ribosomal RNA (452 nucleotides) under uncultured Sediminibacterium sp. Its description in RNAcentral is "bacterial SSU rRNA". It matches the Rfam family "Bacterial small subunit ribosomal RNA", at positions 346 to 795 of the family's 1533-position model. Lineage: Bacteria; Pseudomonadati; Bacteroidota; Chitinophagia; Chitinophagales; Chitinophagaceae. The record is from RNAcentral.